GAAAAUAUUCCAAGAGAGUGUCCCAUUUACUAAUGAAAAUCAUGAAGAAGGCAGCACGUGAUGAAGGACGUGCAAACGCCACAGAAGAUCAAGUUUUACUGAAGUACUGCCUGGCACUGACUGCAGCUUUCCUGGUUUCCAUGCUGGCAGCCAUGAUAACGUGCUGUCUGCUUAUCCGGCGAUGGAGGCAGAGAAACCAGCGCCUCGCUGCAGCUGAUGGAGCCCAGCACGAUGUCUGCGGCCACAGUUUGCCCUCGUCCUGCUCUCCUCAAGGGGCCUGGCAGAUGGACAUGAUGCCAGCACCCGUGACCACCUGCCCACCGGCCGGAUGGCACCACCAGGGCGGCCCCUGCCAGACCUGACAGCAGCCGGGCUCAGCUGCCCCCGCCACGGGCCCCACAGCCCACCAGCCCAGGCUCUGCAGCCCGGGGGGCAUUAACACCACCCCCCAUCCCCCACCGCCAUCUUUUAGGGGACAGGAGGAACCCGCUUGGCUUGGAAGCUUGUGCUCAUUGGCUGGCACCCAAACAACGGCACCCUGGCGGAUGAGCAACAGGCCCAGCAGCCCCCCAGCCGCCCUGGGCAUCAAGACCACCCCCCGUCCCCCACCACCAUCCUUCGGGGGUCGGGAGUGGUCCCUCAGGGUGUCAGCCUGGGGGCAGCCA
This 665-nucleotide long non-coding RNA is filed under the name Phasianus colchicus (ring-necked pheasant). RNAcentral describes it as "lncRNA (ENSPCLG00000017791.1)". The record is from RNAcentral. Lineage: Eukaryota; Metazoa; Chordata; Aves; Galliformes; Phasianidae.